GAUGAAGAACGUAGCGAAAUGCGAUAAGUAGUGUGAAUUGCAGAAUUCAGUGAAUCAUCGAAUCUUUGAACGCACCUUGCGCCCUUUGGCUAUUCCGAAGGGCAUGCCUGUUUGAGUAUCAUGAACACCUCAACUCUCAUGGUUUUUCCAUGAUGGGCUUGGACUUUGGGGGUCUUGCUGGCCUAUAGUCAGCUCCUCUUAAAUGAAUCAGCUUGCCAGUGUUUGGUGGCAUCACAGGUGUGAUAACUAUCUACGCUUGUGGUUUUCCACUAGGUAACCUUCAGCAAUGGAGGUUCACCGGAGCUCACAAAUGUCUCUCCUUGCCAAGGACAGAUUUUGACCAUUUGAUCUCAAAUCAGGUAGGACUACCCGCUGAACUUAAGCAUAUCAAUAAGCGGAGGA
Molecule: unclassified non-coding RNA, 402 nt
Filed under: soil metagenome
Description: partial contains 5.8S ribosomal RNA, internal transcribed spacer 2, and large subunit ribosomal RNA
Rfam family: 5.8S ribosomal RNA (bases 1-121)
Source: RNAcentral